This 322-nucleotide ribosomal RNA is filed under the name uncultured bacterium. RNAcentral describes it as "bacterial SSU rRNA". It matches the Rfam family "Bacterial small subunit ribosomal RNA", at positions 83 to 422 of the family's 1533-position model. The record is from RNAcentral.
UAGCAAUACGGAGUGGCAGACGGGUGAGUAACGCGUGGGAACCUUCCCAGUGGUACGGAAUAGCCCGGGGAAACCCGGAGUAAUACCGUAUACGCCCGAAAGGGGAAAGAUUUAUCGCCAUUGGAUGGGCCCGCGUCGGAUUAGCUAGUUGGUGAGGUAACGGCUCACCAAGGCGACGAUCCGUAGCUGGUCUGAGAGGAUGAUCAGCCACACUGGGACUGAGACACGGCCCAGACUCCUACGGGAGGCAGCAGUAGGGAAUAUUGGACAAUGGGCGAAAGCCUGAUCCAGCCAUGCCGCGUGAGUGACGAAGGCCUUCGGG